CAAUAGGUACUUCCACGUGGAUAACUCUAUAACCAACAUUUGGAAGUUGUACGAACUGUACGAUCAUCACAGGCACGAGAAAAUAUGGUUAGUAACUGAUUAUUUGCAUUCCACUUCCUAGUGCUGACCAAUAAGCUGACCAAUAAGCAACCAGAAAGUCUUUGCAUUAUUGACUCAAGUCAAAACACUCCGUUCUGCUUGCUUGCCAGAAAACCCAGGAAAAGCCAAAAGGGCAAAAAAAAAAAAAACUUUCCUUUUCUUUUCAUCGGUUUUUCCGAUACCCAAAUAGAGCACCAGUGCCAGAGAUUGUUUUUCCUCUCUUUCUUUAGUUAUUAUCAUCAAAUAAUUGAUUUUGCUCAUGUGAGUAAGGAAAAGUGAAAAACUUCCAGUGAUAUAUUUCCAGGUUUUGUUUGUACUUGUUGAUUUAUGGUUUUUAUUUUUGCAUGUGUUUAUGGUCGACUUGUUUCUAUCACUCCUUUGGCUUCUAUUUUGCAGCUCUUGCCUGCCUGCCAUGCUUGGUUAUUUCUGUUUCUCAAUUUUCAGGUUCUAUUUCACUUUCUUUAUUACCUAAAGCUAUGAACUCCGGUGUCCUUUUGAAAUCUCAUUAAUUUCUUUUGCAUGUGUCCAUUAACCAAUUCCAGUUUUUUAUGAUAAAAAUACCUGGGAAUUUUAGGUCUCAUAACAUUGGAUUGCAUGCCCAUUUAUAGAUACUUUCUGCUUUCUGUUUUGUGAUUUUGAAAAUUUCUUUGUGUUAUAUGGCUUAGUUUACAUGCCAAUUAAAUUUACUUUCAGUGCUGCAUCAUGUUCUAGGUUGACGAUUUAACUACUCUUCUUGAUGUCAAUUUUGCCUGGCUUUAUUUAUUAUGUGAUGGAAUAGUGACUUUUAACGAAAACAUCUAAUUGGUUCACUCGAAUUGAUAAUGGUAUUAGCCUGCUUCUUCGGGUGAUCCCUUUCACAUCACUGAAUUUUUCAUUUUUACCUUCUUCAUUGAUAAAAAGAACAAUGAUCGUCUCUUGAGUUACUUGCUCCUCUGGAGUAAUAAAUACAGGUUAUUUCUGCUCCUUUGUGCACUUCCCAUUUGAAAUCUUGGAUGUCCCUGUUUGAAGCCUGAUCUAAAACUUUUAGUUGAUUUUGAUUCCCUGGUUCCUACUUUAGUUUCCCCAAGUACAGAACACAAAUACUGAUAGUGCCAUUUAAAUGAUGAAUGAAGCUAGAUACAGAUUUAAUCCUGCUUUGCCUCUGUUAAUUUUAGCACUAUCAAUUCAUUGGUUAAGACUUAAAAAGCCAGCAAAUAAAUAUUUCUAAAUCUGCUUAUCCUUCUCCAUAUUAGAAAAUUAUGUUUGAUGUUAGGUGAGUUUUCGUGGCUAAAGUAUUUUAAUCUAUAGAAAGAUACCAAAAACAAAAAAGUUAAUGGGAUUCUAAAUUCCUUAAUAGCAUGGGGCAUUUUAAGAACUGAAUUCAGUACCUCUUCCACCAAAAGUAAGAAUCACACUAACAUUCUGAAGAACUGUGCAUUUUCGUUGUAGUUAUGUGCCAUUUUUGUGCAUUUAUGAUCAUGCUAUUUCUAGUUUGAAAGUCCACAGCUCAGUUUUCCUCCAGGGACUCUUUAAAUGUAAUUAGCAAAGAUAUUCAAUGUUUGAUGCUUCCUCUGUUGAUUCUUCCUAGUCUUAGGACACCUCCAUAAUAUCUACGUGGCUUUUCCUUUUGUUGGGUGGGGUGCUGUGGAAAGCUUGGGUAGCCACUUCACUAAAAUCAAGGAUUCUAGAAGGAUUGGUAAUUCGGGCUGGUGGGUAUAAACGGGUCGUGUCAAGACACUGGUAUAACACAGAAAUACUCAACCCGAACAUGACUCAUUUAACUAAUCGGGUCAAGAUUCUAAACCUUAAUACGAAAAUGAUAUUAAGCAAAUUACACGACAAGGCCCGUGUAACCUGUUUAAUAUUAUGCAAGUCAUAGCAUAUCAAUGUGUUCAUCAUUUUACAAAAUUAUACGAUAACACAAUUAAUAGUUUGAAAAAUAUUAAUAUAAUUAGCAAAUAAUGAUAUAUUUUUAUAUUAUUUUAAUUAAAUAUGUUUAUUGUGUAUAUUUGUCUAGUGUAUUUACAUGUUAAUUUAUUAACCUGAUUAAAUAAACGUGUCUAACCAGAGAUGGGUCAUAAACCUACUAUUUUACUUUUUUAUAAAUGGAUUGACCCGUUUAUAGGCCAAAUUGUUUAUCCAAAACCCAACCCCUGUUUAACUACGUGUGACGCCAUGUAAUCAGGUUGUCAAAAAUUGCCAACCUUGUUCUAGAGUAACAGUGAAAUUACUAGUUUUGAGUAAUGAAAAUUGUUGUUUGGUGUGUGGUACUUGUUGGGUGGUGGUUAUAAAUAAUGUUUGGAAUCAACAUUGUACUGUGGACUAGCAAUGAGUUCGCUAGUUUUGAUGUUGCCUUGUCCGUUUUCACAUCAGCUGCUGAUUUAUUUAGGUGCAUUUGUAAAUUUUAUUUGCAAAUUUCAUGUCACUUGCUCCAAUAUCAUAGUAGAUGUUACCUUGUUGAAAGUUAGAAGGAAACAGGUUCUUAAACUCUGUGAGGUGCUUUUCUCAGAAUGUAUAUCACCAUUCGUGCAGGAGACAGUGAGCUGGAGAUUGUUUCUACUCUCUGAUUUUGGUCGUCUUCAUUUGGGUUGUUGAUUCAGUGAUUGAAUCUGCACUUUACGUGAACUCCCACAAUCAUUUGGCAGCUUGAGGCAAUUGGAUUUUUAUUGCUUGCUGAGCCACAGGUAUAGUUCUAAAUUGCUUGCUUAGACUGCAAACCAGUGACUUAUUUACUUAACAAUUGCAUGGUGUGAAAUCAUAUUGGAUGGACAAUAAAUUAUGUGGGCUCUCAUGAAUUUUCAAAUUGUUUGACAUAGCAAAAUUAUUUUACUUUCUUGCCAGAAACCACAAGUUAAUAAAAUCUGGUUAUUAUAUUCAACAAUUAGGCAAGAACGGAAGUGGGGCACUAGGACUUGUAGUUAUGCAGUUGAGUUUAGGCUAGAUUAUUUGGAUCUUUCAUUAUCAGAUGCCAAAAACAAGACAGGAAAGGUGGGAUAGGUAGUCUAUAGUUGACAUGGAGACAGAUACGUAGUUGUAUUAUUUUAAUGUCAAUAUUGAAAACUAACAACAGGUGGGGGCAUUCCGAGAAUCGAACUCGUGAUCUCUCGCACCCAAAGCGAGAAUCAUACCACUAGACCAAAUGUCCUGUAGCUAUCUUUUAUAACUUAUUUCGCUAGUUAUUUCUGUUAAUUUUCGUGAACUCUCUGAAGUAGGUACUUGCUAGACUUUGACCUUUGAUGCUACCAUUACCUCUUAGUCAUUUAUCUGGUCAGUCAGAUACAAGACAUUUGCAAAAUGCAUUGAUAGCUUAAAUUGGUUAAAAACUUAAGGUGCUGAUGCUAAAUACAAUUAUCUUGGCCUAGCAUAAUCCCAUGCCAUAGAUAAGCAGAUUCCUCUAACAUCAUGAGUAAUUGCUUUCUUCUUUUCAUGUCUUGACCUGGGUGGAGGCUAUCAGCAUCAAGCUUGUGCUUGAUUCAUUAUUUUACACAACUACUUCUGGUAUAAGCUGUACGCAAAAAGUAAGGGCUUAUAAUUUAAAAAACAAUCUAGAUGGGGCGUUCUGAGAAUUGAACUCUAGACCUAUCACACCAAAAGCGAGAAUCAUACCACUAGACUAAAUGCCCAUUCAUUAACACUUGUCAUGUACAAUUUUCAAUUUAAGCUGAAUCUGUAUUAAUGCAAAAGACUGUUUGAAGGUUUAUUUCACAUUUCCUUUUACCUCUGAUUAGCAAAUACAUUCAAAUUUGCUUUGUUGUCUAUUGUUAGUUUAGUAUUUCUUUCAUACCACAGGAUUGUGGAGUAAACAUAGUAUAAUGGGAAUGUUUGCUUCUUAUUUUUCUCAAAAAACAUUGACAGAAUUGCUCUCAGGAAAGGUCAGUUUGGAGAGCAGCAAUUAUUCAAAAAAUAGUUUCACUAACUCUUUUAUGUUCUUGCUCUGGUAAACCUACCAUGGCAAAAGUGUAUGUUUUGCUUAACUGAUGCCUGAUUUGCUGUUGCAGCUUUUCUUCUCUUGGAAUUUCGCAUUCACACUUCUUGCAGUCUUUGACUUAGAUACUAAUUUUUACAAUGUCAUUAAAGAUAUAAAGAAUAAUUAAUAUAUCAGUCAUAAGACACUCAUUGAGAUGAGGUACUUACCUAAAAAAUUUCUUAGGAAAUUCAGAUUUACAGCUUCAGGCAAAUUAUAGCUUUAACUUUGGUUCCCUUGGCUGGGUUAUUGACUGAGUGAAAUCUACUUUAGUGAACUGGAUUCUCACUUACUGCAGACGCCAAAGAUUUGAGUUUGGAAUUUUAGUUUCCCACUUCCAUGUCACUUGCUGCUUUUUUCGGACUACGUGUUACCUGAUUAUAUUAGUAAAGGUUGUGAGAAUGAGCAAUACAUUGUGCUAUGGAUCAUUACUUGAUCACAUUACUAAAGGUUGUGAUUGUGAACAAUGUAUUGUGCUAUAGAGCGUUACUUGAUCAUAUUAGUAAAGGUUGUGAGAAUGAGCAAUAUAUUGUGCUAUAGAUCAUAAAUAUUUAUAAGUUGCUUUUCUCAAGAUUUCUUAAAAACUUUGUACUAGUUGUGAUAAAGGAUGGUGGUCUUCAGUUAGUUUCUAUUUGUUGCUCGAGUGAUUGAGCUUACGCUUAGAAUAAACUUCCACAACAUUUCAUAGAGUUGAGGCAGCUGGUUUUUAUUGAUUGCUGAGGUCUUAGUCAUAUUCAUUGCUUACCUAGAAUGCAAAGUCACUGGCUGUUUGCUUGGUAGAUAAAAAUUUUAUUAGAGAAUUUCAAUCAUGAAAAUUUCAUAUUGUUCUGCAGUUGACUUUAGGCCAGAUCACAUGGCCAAAUUAUUUUUAACUUUAUUAUUAGGAACCAAAUAAUAUAUUGAAUGUAUACUGAGUCUUCGACAAAGAAGGUCGUCCACUAGGGACUUUUAGUUCUUCUGUUGGCUUCAGGCCAGAUAAUUAAUUCUUGAAACAGAACAAGAACGAGGGACAAAAAACAAGGUGGGGCAUUCCGAGAAUCGAACUUGGUACCUCUCACACCCAAAGCGAGAAUCAUACCACUAGACCAAAUGCCGAUUUGUCAAUGUUACUCCUAUUAAUUUAAAUCAGAUUACACUAAACAUGUCUCUUGUUGGAUACUUUUGAAGGCCUUGGAUGACCUAUCAGACUCAUAUGAGAAAAAUACUUUAACAGAAGCACAAAUUUUCUGCGAUGAAGUUGCAUGCAUAUGCAUACCUGUAUAUUACAAUUUCAGCCAUCUUUAAAUUGCUAGUGUUUUUGGUUAGUGAAUUUGUUCUUAGUAAUUGUAGCAUUUGGCAGGGUUUGGGUUGAUGGCCAAUAUUCUUGAUGAAUGGGCAGCUGGAUACUGGUAUGAUCCUGAGCUUGCAAAUCUUUAUGUGAAGUUAUAAACACAAUCUUCAUGCAUACGGUAGAAGAAGCUUAAAAAAAUAAAAGAAAAAAAUAUGAAACACUAAUCAUCUGAAAAUAAUGGGGCUCUCCGAGAAUUGAACUCGGGACCUCUCACACCCUAAGCGAGAUCAUACCACUAGACCAAAUGCCCAACCACUGAUGUUAGUUUCUGUGGUGAUUCCAAAUACCAUUUCCUAUGCAAGGUUUGAAUGAAAAUUGAAGACUUUUGAAAAGUUAUAUUCUUCUGUUUCAACUAAAAGAAGUAUAUCUCUGCAUGUUAAUGGCAUUUAGCACUUGAUUAAUGAUCAUUUAUGCAGUAACCUGUCCACCUAGAUUUCAACAUCUACUGCUCUUUCUGUAACAAUUUCUACAAAAAGAAAAUAGGAAAAGAAUUGAUUGGCAGGGAAUCUUGUCAGACAACUGUGUUUAUUUAUUCUCUGAUAUAGUUUUCACUGUUUGACAUGCCUCUGCUUAAGGGCCAUAUGAACUAAACUCAUUGGUUACUUCCUAAAUUAUUUGGCAGAUAAACUAUUGGAUCAGAGUAAUUAAGAUCAAUGAUUAUUAUAAAAAAAACCAAGCAUUUUACUUUUGCUAUUUGACUUGUUUUGCCCAAAAAAUAUUUAAAUUGAAAUGGUAAAGUGGGGGCAAUCCGAGAAUCAAACUGGGGACUUGUCGCACCCAAAGCAAGAAUCAUACCACUAGAUCAAAUGCCCAUUUGUUGUUACUAACUAUGUACAAUAUUUGUUCAUGGUAAUGGAAUUGCUAGUUUAAAGAUUUGGAGCACAAACUCCCUGUCAGAUUGGAAGUGUAAUUGGCAAAUAUACUGAAUGCACGACGGUUAGUGGCUUUUAGCUAGUUCGAGGAUGUAUUUCCUACCAGCUUCUUGGGAUGUGUGUUUGGGGUCUUAUCUGAGUAGUAAUAAAUCAGAAUGCAUGCAUAUUGGCCCUUUAUAGCCCCCAUUGUGCUUGGUGUUAUGUAGACUUGAGCACAAUUCCUCGCAUUUGUUGUUACGUUUCUGCUCAGCUAGGUCGCAAAACCACCGGCUGAUGCACUUGGUAACCCUUGGUGUUAGUGUAGAAUAUAUUCAGAGCUUAUAUUAUAUGUGCAGUCAUGAAGACUAAAUGUUGUUCUGCAGUUGACUUUAUGCCAGAUCUUGACCAAAUUAUUUCAACUUUAUUUAGAAAAACACUAUGUUGAAUAUGUUUGCUGAAUUCUUUAAACAGACAAUAGAAGUGAGGCACUAGGGAAGUAUAGUUAUGUUGUUGACUUCAGGACAGAUUUUAAUUCAAUAACACAAAGCCAAAAACAUGAUGGGGGCAUUCCGAGAAUCCAACUCGGGACCUCUUGCACCCAAAGCGAGAAUCAUACCACUAGACCAAGUCCCCAUUUAUCAAUGUUAUUUUGUUUUAAUUUGUAAUUAACAUCUUCUCUGCUCCUAUUAAUUUAAAUCUGAUUAUACUGAACAUGUCUAUUAUUGGGCUUUCUUUGAUGGCCUUGGAUGAUAUAUCAGACUCAUAUGAGCCAGAUGCCUUGAACAGAAGAAAACGAAAUUUCUUUUAUGUUGCAAUGAAAUUGAGUACUUUUGUACACCUGUAAAUUACAAUCUUAGCCCCUAUAUUGGAAGUAAUUUUUGUUAGUAAACUUUUGUUUAAUAUUUAUACCAUUUUGGCAGGGUUCAGGUUUCUAUUCUUCCUUCUGUUCAUUUGUUAUUUUCGUUUGGUUUGUUGAUUGAGUGAUUGGACUGCCCUGGAAAUGUGCUUCCAUAACCUUUUGGCAGUUAAGGCAGCUGGCUUUAAUCAAUUUCUCGCAUUUGUUGUUAUGUUUCUGCUGAGCUAGAUUGCAUAACCACUGGCUGAAGUACUUGGUAAUCCAUGCUGUUAGGUGCAGAAUCUUAUCAGAGUAUAUAUUAUAUGUGUUGCCAUGAAUAUUAACUAUUGUCUGCAGUUGACUUUAUGCCAGAUCACAUGACCAAAUUAUUUCAACUUCAUUAUAGAAACAAAAACUAUGUUGAAUAUGUUUGCUGAAUUCUUCAAACAGACAAUAAAGGCGGGGCAUUAGGGACUUGUAGUUAUGCUGUUGACUUCAUGCCAGAUUUUAAUUUCAAUAUUAUAAAACCAAAAAUAUGCUGGGGCAUUCCGAGAAUUGAACUCGGGACCUCUCGCACCCAAAGCGAAAAUCAUACCACUAGACCAAAUGCUCAUUUGUAAACGUUAUUUGUUUUAAUUUGUAUUUAAUUUCUUCUCUAACUGCUUCUUUUAGUUUAAAAUUGACUAGACUGAACAUGUCUGCCAUUGGGCUUUCUUUGAAGUUCUUGGAUGAUGUAUCGGACUCAUACGAGCAAAAUGCCUUAACAGAAGAAACAAACUUAAGUAGCAUUCAUUUGCAUAACUGUAUAUUAUAGUUUUAGAAUCUUAGGUAGUAAUUUUUGUGAGUAAACUUUAGUAUUUGUAUCAUUUGGCAAAUUCAGGUUAAUUGCCUUUGGUGUUGAUGAAAGGGAGCUAGAUACAGGUAUGAUACUAAGCUUGCUAAUCUUGUUAUGAAGUUGUGAAAAUCGUCUUAUUGCCAUCUGUGGAAGAAAUUUCAAGAAAAGAAAACGAAAAAUCAUGGAACAUUUGAUUUUUGUAUAAAAUGGGGCAUUCCGAGAAUUGAACUCGGGACCUCUCGCACCCUAAGCGAGAAUCAUACCACUAGACCAAAUGCCCAACUGUAGAUGUUAUUUUCUCUGGUGAUUCUUAAUGCUAUCUCCAAUCUAAGGUUUGGGUGAAAACCGAAAAGACUUUUGAAAAGUUAUUUUCUUCUCUUUGGAUCAAAGAAACAUAUCUCUGUUAGGAAAUGGCAUAUAGCACUUGAUUUAUGAUCAUUUAUGCAGUAAUCCGGCCACCUAGAUCUCAGCAUCUACUGCUCUUUCUGUAAUACUUUCAGUUUCUCAGAAAAAAAUGAUUGACAUGGAAUCUUGUCAGAUAACUGAGUUAUUUUAUUUGCUGUUACAGUUUUUACUGUUUGACAUUCCUCUGCUGAAAGACCAUAUAAACUGAACUCCAUGGUUCCUGAUUUACUUCCUAAACUCAUGAGCAUAGAUGAUAAACUAUUAGAUCAGAGUAGGUAGCAUUGCAGAUUAUUAUAAAAAAUCAUAAAACAUUUUUCUCUGGCUAUUUGACUUAUUGUGCACAAUGACAAUUUAAAUCAUAGUUAUAAAGUAGGGGCAUUUCGAGAAUCGAACUCGGGACCUCUCGCACCCAAAGCGAGAAUCAUACCACUAGACCAAAUGCCCAUUUGUUGAUAAUAUGUACAGUAUGUGUUCAUGCAAUACAAUUACUGGUUUGAACGUUUGAAGCACAAUUUCCCUUACAGGAUUGGAAGUCUAAUUGACAAAGAUAUUCAAAGCAUGACACUUGGUAGCUUCUUGUUAGUCUUGGGCUGUAUUUUCUACCAGCUUCUCACAGUAUGUGUUCAUGCAAUACAAUUACUGGUUUGAACAUUUGAAGCACAAUUUCCCUUACAGGAUUGGAAGUGUAAUUGACAAAGAUAUUCAAUGCAUGACACUUGGUAGCUUCUUGUUAGUCUUUGGCUGUAUUUUCUACCAGCUUCUCUUUUUCUUCUAUUGGGGUGUGUGUUUGGCGUUUUAUCUGAGCAGUAAUGAAUGAGAAUACUUGCAUACUGGCCCUUUAUAGUUCCCAUUCUUGCCUGCUCCACCUGCUACAAAAAAAUUUUAAUUGAUGUUUAGCAGAUUAAACUUGCUGCUUUUCUUGGAAUUUUAUUUGCCCAUUUGCAUCUCACUUGGUGCACUAUGUAACUAGACGAUGUGGUUUUAUUAAAGGUUGUGGAAACAAGCAAUAACUUUGCUAUGAGUCACCAAUUUUACUAAGGUUCUUUUCUCAAGGUUUUUCAAGUAAAUUUCUAUUGCUGGUCAUGAUAAAGUAUGAUGGUCUACAACUAGUUUCUACUCUACAAUUUGUUGUCUUCAUUUGAUUUGUUGAUUGAAUGAUUGAACUGCUCCUGAAAUGUGAUUAUAUAACCUCUUGGCAGGGUUGAGGCAGUUGGCUUUUCAUCAAAUGGCGGCAUUUUUGUUGGUAUGUUUCUGGUCAGCUAGGUUGCAAAAAUUAUUGGCUUAUGCACUUGAUAAACCUUGGUGUUAGUAUAGAAUGUAUUCAUAGCUUAUAUAAUAUGUGCAGUGGUGAAGAUUAAAUAUUGUUCUCUAGUUGACUUUAUGCCAGAUCAUGUGACCUAAUUAAUUCAACUUUAUUGCAAAAAAACUAUAUUGAAUAUGUUUGCUGAAUUCUUUAAACAGACAAUAAAGGUGAGGCACUAGGGACGUAUAGUUAUGCUGUUGACUUCAGGACAAAUUUUAAUUCAAUUACACAAAACCAAAAACAUGAUGGGGGCAUUCCGAGAAUCGUAUGAGCAAAAUGCCUUGAACAGAACAAAACGAAAUUUCUUUUAUAGAGCAAUGAAAUUGAGUACAUAUGCAUACCUGUAAAUUAUAAACUUAGCCCCUAUGUUGGUAGUAAUUUUUGUUAGUAAACUUGUUUUCAAUAUUUAUACCAUUUUUGGCAGGGUUGGUUCAGGUUUCUAUUCUUCCUUUUGUUCAUUUGUUGUAUUCGUUUGGUUUGUUGAUUAGUGAUUGAACUGCCUGGAAAUGUGCUUCCAUAACCUUUUGGCAGGGUUAAGGCAGCUAGCUUUUAAUCAAUUUCUCGCAUUUGUUGUUAUGUUUCUUGAGCUAAUAUUGCAAAAGUACUGGCGGAUGUACUUGGUAAUCCAUGCUGUUAGGUGUAGAAUCUUAUCAGGGCUUAUAUUAUAUGUGUAGUCAUGAACAUUAACUAUUGUUCUGCAGUUGACUUUAUGCCAGAUCACAUGACCAAAUGAUUUCACCUUUAUUAUAUAAACAAGAACUAUGUUGAAUAUGUUUGCUAAUUCUUCAAACAGAAAAUAAAGGUGGGGCAUUAGGGACUUGUAGUUUUGCUGUUGACUUCAGGCCAGAUUUUAAUUUCAUUAUUAUAAUACCAAAAACAUGUUGGGGCAUUCCGAGAAUCGAACUCGGGACCUCUCGCACCCAAAGCGAGAAUCAUACCACUAGACCAAAUGCCCAUUUGUAAAUGUUAUUUUGCCUUAAUUUGUAUUUAAUUUCUUCUCUAACCGCUUCUUUUAGUUUAAAACUGAUUAGACUGAACAUUUCUGCCAUUGGGCUUUCUUUGAAGGUCUUGGAUGAUGUAUCAGACUCGUAUGAGCAAAAUGAAUUAACAGAAGAAACAAACUUAAGUUGCAUUCAUAUGCAUAACUGUAUAUUAUAGUUUUAGAAAUCUUAGAUAGUAAAUUUGUGAAUAAACUUGUUCUUCGUAUUUGUAUCAUUUGGUAAUGUUCAGGUUAAUUGCCUUUGCUGUUGCUGAAAGGGAGCUAGAUACAGGUAUGUUACUGAGCUUUCUAAUCUUGUUAUGAAGUUGUGAAAUCUUCCGAGAAUUGAACUCGGGACCUCUCGCACCCUAAGCGAGAAUCAUACCACUAGACCAAAUGCCCAACUGUAAAUGUUAUUUUCUCUGGUGAGUCUUAAUGCCAUUUCCAAUCUAAGAUUUGGGUGAAAACCGAAAAGACUUUUGAAAAGUUAUUUUCUCCUCUUUGGAUCAAAGAAACAUAUCCCUUUUAGGUAAUGGCAUAUAGAACUUGAUUUAUGAUCAUUUAUGCAGUAAUCUGGCCACCUAGAUCUCAGCAUCUACUGCUCUUUCUCUAACAUUUUCUGUUUCUCAAAAACCAAAAAAAAAUGAUUGACAUGGAAUCUUGUCAGAUAACUUAGUUAUUUUAUUUGCUUUUACAGUUUUACUGUUUGACAUUCCUCAGCUGAAAGACCAUAUAAACUGAACUUCAUGGUUACUGAUUUACUUCCUAAACUCAUGAGCAUAGAUGAUAAACUAUUAGAUCAGGGUAGGUAGCAUUGCAGAUUAUUAUAAAAUAUCAUAAAACAUUUGUCUCUGGCUAGUUGACUUAUUGUGCACAAUGAUAAUUUAAAUUGUAGUUAUAAAGUAGGGGCAUUCCGAGAAUCGAACUCGGGACCUCUCGCACCCAAAGCGAGAAUCAUACCACUAGACCAAAUGCCCAUUUGUUGAUAGUAUAUACAAUAUGUGUCCAUGGCAAUGCAAUUACUGGUUUGAACAUUUGAAGCACAAUUUCCCUUACAGGAUGGUAAGUGUAAUUGACAAAGAUAUUCAAUGCAUGACACUUAGCUUCUUGCUAGUCUUGGGCUGUAUUUUAUAGCAGCUUCUCUUUUUCUUCUUUUGGGGUGUGUUUGGGGUCUUAUCCGAGUAGUAAUGAACGAGAAUACUUGCAUACUGGCCCUUUAUCAUUCCCAUUCUUGCAAAAUAUUUUACUUGAUUUUUAGCUGAUUUACUUUGCUACUUUUAUUGGAAUUUUAUUUGCCCAUUUGCAUCUCACUUGGUGAACUCUUUAAUUAGACAAUGUGGUUUUAUUAAAGGUUGUGGAAACAAGCAAUAACUUUGCUAUAAGUCACUAAUUUUACUGAGGUGCUUUUCUCAAGGUUUUUCAAGUAAAUUUCUAUUGCUGGUCAUGAUAAAGUAUGAUGGUCUAGAAUUAGUUUCUAGUCUACCAUUUGUUGUCUUCAUUUGAUUUGGUGAUCGAGUGAUUGAACUGCUCCUGAAUGUGCUUAUAACCUUUUGGCAGGGAAGGCACCUGGUUUUUCAUCAAUUGCCGGCAUUUUUGUUGGUAUGUCUCUGGUCAGCUAGGUUGCAAAAACCAUUGACUGAUGCACUUGGUAACCCUUGUUGUUAGUGUAGAAUAUAUUCAGAGCUUACGAUAAAUGUGCAGUGAUGAAGAUUAAAUAUUGUUCUGCAGUUGACUUUAUGCCAAUUCACAUGACCAAAUCAUUUCAACUUAAUUAUAAGAAAACUACGUUGAAUAUGUUUGCUGAAUUCUUUAAACAGACAAUAAAGUUGAGGCACUAGGGACUACUAGUUAUGCUGUUAACUUCAGGACAGAUUAUAAUUCAAUAUCACAAAACCAAAAACAUGAUGGGGGCAUUCCGAGAAUCGAACUCGGGACCUCUCGCACCCAAAGCGAGAAUCAUACCACUAGACCAAAUGCCCAUUUUUCAAUAUUAUUUUGUUUUAAUUUGUAAUUAACUUCUUCUCUGCUCCUAUUAAUUUAAAUCUGAUUAGACUGAACAUGUCUAAUGUUGGUUGGGGUUUCUUUGAUGGCCUUGGAUAGUGUAUCAGACUCAUAUGAGCAAAAUGCCUUAACCAGAAGAAAACAAACUUUCUUUUAUGGAGCAAUGAAGUUGAAUGCAUAUGCAUACCUGUAAAUUAUAAUCUUAGCCCCUAUACUGGUAGUAAUUUUUGUUAAUAAACUUGUUCUUAAAAUUUGUACCAUUUUGGCAGGUUUCAGGUUAAUUGGGAGGCAGAGACAGGUUUGAUACUAGCUUUCUAAUCCUGUUAAGUUCUUAGCACCAUCUUUUUGCAUUCUGUGGAAGAAACUUCUGCUUUUCAGAAAAAAGAAAAAAAAAAUCAUGGAACACUUGAUUUCUGAAUAAAAUGGGGCAUUCUGAGAAUUGAACUCAGGACCUCUCGCACCCUAAGCGAGAAUCAUGCCACUAGACCAAAUGCCCAAUUUGACCUUAUAGCUAUGUAAGGCUUGAUUGAAAAAGACUUUUAAAUGAUAUUUUCUCACUUUGGAUUCAGAAGAAACAUAUCUUCAUCUGUGAUGACCAUAUUUAGCACUUGAUUUAUGAUCCCUUAUGCAGUAGUUUUUUAUCCAUCUAGAUUUCAGCAUCUACUGUUCUGUCUAUCAAAUUUUUUGUUUUCCAAAAGGAAAUUGUUUGGCAUGGAUUUGGAAUCUUGUCAGAAAACCUAAUUAUUUUAUUGUGUUAUAGACUAUUAAACUGAAAUCGAGGGCUGCUAAUUUAGUUUCUAAAAUCAUUGGCAUAGUUGACUAUUAGUAUUAGAUCCGAGUAAACAUCUAAGAAGCAAGCAUAAAGCAUUUUUCUUUUGCUACUGUUUAUUUGACUCAUCUCUCAAAANNNNNNNNNNNNNNNNNNNNNNNNNNNNNNNNNNNNNNNNNNNNNNNNNNNNNNNNNNNNNNNNNNNNNNNNNNNNNNNNNNNNNNNNNNNNNNNNNNNNNNNNNNNNNNNNNNNNNNNNNNNNNNNNNNNNNNNNNNNNNNNNNNNNNNNNNNNNNNNNNNNNNNNNNNNNNNNNNNNNNNNNNNNNNNNNNNNNNNNNNNNNNNNNNNNNNNNNNNNNNNNNNNNNNNNNNNNNNNNNNNNNNNNNNNNNNNNNNNNNNNNNNNNNNNNNNNNNNNNNNNNNNNNNNNNNNNNNNNNNNNNNNNNNNNNNNNNNNNNNNNNNNNNNNNNNNNNNNNNNNNNNNNNNNNNNNNNNNNNNNNNNNNNNNNNNNNNNNNNNNNNNNNNNNNNNNNNNNNNNNNNNNNNNNNNNNNNNNNNNNNNNNNNNNNNNNNNNNNNNNNNNNNNNNNNNNNNNNNNNNNNNNNNNNNNNNNNNNNNNNNNNNNNNNNNNNNNNNNNNNNNNNNNNNNNNNNNNNNNNNNNNNNNNNNNNNNNNNNNNNNNNNNNNNNNNNNNNNNNNNNNNNNNNNNNUUCAUUGAUUCCCCAGGGUCAUAGGUACUGGCCAGCUGGGUUGUAGAACCACUCUACCGACUUUGGAAUCUUAACCAGAGCAUAAUAUAUUAUAUAUAUAUAUAUAUAUAUAUAUAUGUGCAGCCACUGAACAUUGAAUAUUUUUCUGAAGACUUUUAGGCCAGAUCACAUGGCCAUAUUUUCUCAACUUUAUUGUCAAAAAAAAGAAAGAAAGCAAACUACUAUAUUAAAUAACAUGUUUGUUUUAUUCUGCAGACAGAUCCUAACCCAUAAAGAAGGCGGGGGCACCAGCAGCAACUUGUAGUUCUGCUGAUGACUGUAGUUAGUUUCCAAUAUCGCCAAAAAAAGCAAUAGCAUAUAUACAGGGGCAUUCCGAGAAUCGA
Molecule: long non-coding RNA, 14442 nt
Filed under: Ricinus communis (castor bean)
Lineage: Eukaryota; Viridiplantae; Streptophyta; Magnoliopsida; Malpighiales; Euphorbiaceae
Description: long non-coding RNA (RCOM_LNC002838)
Source: RNAcentral